UACGUAGGGCGCAAGCGUUAUCCGGAAUUAUUGGGCGUAAAGAGCUCGUAGGCGGUGUGUCGCGUCGGCCGUGAAAACCUGCAGCUUAACUGUGGGCGUGCGGUCGAUACGGGCAUCACUGGAGUUCGGCAGGGGAGACUGGAAUUCCUGGUGUAGCGGUGAAAUGCGCAGAUAUCAGGAGGAACACCGGUGGCGAAGGCGGGUCUCUGGGCCGAUACUGACGCUGAGGAGCGAAAGCGUGGGGGAGCGAACAGG
RNAcentral lists this ribosomal RNA (255 nucleotides) under uncultured bacterium. RNAcentral describes it as "partial 16S ribosomal RNA". It matches the Rfam family "Bacterial small subunit ribosomal RNA", at positions 524 to 776 of the family's 1533-position model. The record is from RNAcentral.